Desulfovibrio sp. S3730MH75 is the source of this 74-nucleotide non-coding RNA. The record is from Rfam. NCBI's taxonomy places the organism in Bacteria, Pseudomonadati, Thermodesulfobacteriota, Desulfovibrionia, Desulfovibrionales, Desulfovibrionaceae.
GAAAGCCGCUUACGGGAAAUCCGUACGGGCGGUUUGAUGAGGAGGGGGUGGUGAAAGCCACUCCUUUACUCUAC